AUGGUGGAGGGCCGUCGCGGCAGCUCUUGUCCUGGGCCCCCUUCUCCCCUCAUGAUGGCGACGACCUCUCCAGCUCCGAGUCCUCCAUCUCCUUCAACACCUACUACUCCGCCGCUCCAACAUACCCCUACGGCAAGUUGCUUGGCCCACCAAGCCUACCUCCUGUCACGGCGGCCCGGGAAAUCAUCGGAAACCGGCGAGAUCCGACCGUGGACUUCUUCUCGGGUGUGCAGUUCGGCCCCCAGCGGUGAUGCAGUGCAGCUCCAGAUACGCCGGAGAUCCAUGGCGUCGCUCCGAGCACAGCCGAAGACCGUCGUGGAGGUUGUGGUAGCCACGGCCGUCACCCCACUGGAUCCGGCCGGCGUGCACUUCAGCUGA
Molecule: ribosomal RNA, 378 nt
Filed under: Triticum aestivum (bread wheat)
Lineage: Eukaryota; Viridiplantae; Streptophyta; Magnoliopsida; Poales; Poaceae
Description: partial small subunit ribosomal RNA
Source: RNAcentral